ACGGAUGCCUUGGCAGCUGAAGGCGAUGAAGGACGCGAAAGCCUGCGAUAAGCUUCGGGGAGCUGGCAAUUAAGCUUCGAUCCGGAGAUUUCCGAAUGGGGAAACCCACCUGUUUACAGGUAUCACACACUGAAUCCAUAGGUGUGUGAGGCGAACGCGGAGAACUGAAACAUCUAAGUACCCGUAGGAAAAGAAAUCAACCGAGAUUCCCUUAGUAGCGGCGAGCGAACGGGGACCAGCCCUUA
RNAcentral lists this ribosomal RNA (245 nucleotides) under Alexandrium tamarense. Its description in RNAcentral is "partial Bacterial large subunit ribosomal RNA". It matches the Rfam family "Bacterial large subunit ribosomal RNA", at positions 26 to 273 of the family's 2925-position model. The record is from RNAcentral. Lineage: Eukaryota; Dinophyceae; Gonyaulacales; Pyrocystaceae.